Molecule: ribosomal RNA, 508 nt
Filed under: uncultured bacterium
Lineage: Bacteria
Description: bacterial SSU rRNA
Rfam family: Bacterial small subunit ribosomal RNA
Source: RNAcentral
UCCUGGCUCAGGAUGAACGCUAGCGGCAGGCUUAACACAUGCAAGUCGAGGGGCAGCGGGAUGUAGCAAUACAUUGCCGGCGACCGGCGGAUGGGUGCGUAACGCGUAUGCAACCUACCUUAUACAGGGGAAUAACCUUUCGAAAGGGAGACUAACACCCCAUAGUAUUGAUUUAAGGCAUCUUAGAUUAAUUAAAUAUUUAUAGGUAUAAGAUGGGCAUGCGUAUGAUUAGCUAGUUGGUAAGGUAACGGCUUACCAAGGCGACGAUCAUUAGGGGUUCUGAGAGGAAGGUCCCCCACACUGGUACUGAGACACGGACCAGACUCCUACGGGAGGCAGCAGUGAGGAAUAUUGGUCAAUGGGCGCAAGCCUGAACCAGCCAUGCCGCGUGCAGGAAGACGGCCUUAUGGGUUGUAAACUGCUUUUACAUAAGACUAACCGUAUAUUUGCGAAUAUACCUGAAUGUAUUAUGAGAAUAAGGAUCGGCUAACUCCGUGCCAGCCGCCGC